UAAAAAAUUUGGCGGUAUUUUAGUCUAUUCAGAGGAACCUGUUCUAUAAUUGAUAAUCCACGAUGGACCUUACUUAAAUUUGUAUACAGUUUAUAUACCGUCGUUAUUAGAAUAUUUUUUAAGAAUGUUAAUUUUCAUAAUUUUAAAAAAGAAAAUAUAUCAGAUCAAGGUGUAGCUUAUAUUUAAGUAGAAAUGGGUUACAAUAAAUUUAUUUAUAUGGAUAUAAUUAUGAAAUUCAUUAUUGAAAGUGGAUUUGAUAGUAAAAUUAUAAAGAUUAAUAAUUUGAUUUUAGCUCUAAAAUAUGUACAUAUCGCCCGUCACUCUUAUUAUUAAGAUAAGAUAAGUCGUAACAUAGUAGGUGUACCGGAAGGUGUAUCUAGAAUGCAAUUUAAAGCUUAUUUAGUAAAGUAUUUCAUUUACAUUGAAAAGAUUUUUGUGCAAAUCAAUAUAAAUUGAUUAAAUUUUAUUUAUUAAUAAUUUAAUUUUUUAAAAUAUUUUAUUAAAAAUAAUUAUAAAAUGAUUUUGUUUUAGUAUUUUAUAAAUAAAAAAUAAAUUUAAUUAUAGUUAAUUAGUAUUGUGAAAGAAAAUUGAAAUAAUGUGAAAAAUUUUUAUAAUAAAAGAAAUU
RNAcentral lists this ribosomal RNA (625 nucleotides) under Drymeia alpicola. Its description in RNAcentral is "partial 12S ribosomal RNA". The stretch from base 1 to 387 matches the Rfam family "Microsporidia small subunit ribosomal RNA", at positions 779 to 1311 of the family's 1311-position model. The record is from RNAcentral. Lineage: Eukaryota; Metazoa; Arthropoda; Insecta; Diptera; Muscidae.